This is a non-coding RNA of Pelobates cultripes (western spadefoot toad), 309 nucleotides long. The record is from the annotation of a GenBank genome assembly. NCBI's taxonomy places the organism in Eukaryota, Metazoa, Chordata, Amphibia, Anura, Pelobatidae.
GGACAUGGGGACAUUGAGACACGGGGGCACUGGGAGACAUGGGGACACAGACACCAGGGCCACAGACAUUAGGGACACUAGAUUGGAGACAUGGGGACAUUGAGACACUUGAGGCACUGGGAGACAUAGAGGCACUAGGAGACAUGGGGACAGUGAGACACUGGGAGACUAGGGAUCACUGGGAGAGUAGGUGUAUGUCUCCUUGCAGCCUUUCCCCCCAUCCCUUACUUCCCUGAGCUGUAGGCUGUCUCUGCAGGGUGGGAGUUGCUGUCUGGACUCUCUGUAGCUGCACCCCUGCAGAUCAUUGAG